Molecule: ribosomal RNA, 253 nt
Filed under: uncultured bacterium
Lineage: Bacteria
Description: partial 16S ribosomal RNA
Rfam family: Bacterial small subunit ribosomal RNA
Source: RNAcentral
GACAGAGGGUGCAAGCGUUGUCCGGAAUUACUGGGCGUAAAGCGCGUGUAGGCGGCCCUGCAAGUCGGAUGUGAAAUCCCACGGCUCAACCGUGGAAGUGCAUUCGAAACUGCAGGGCUAGAGUCCUGGAGAGGAAGGUGGAAUGCUUGGUGUAGAGGUGAAAUUCGUAGAUAUCAAGCGGAACACCGGUGGCGAAGGCGGCCGUCUGGACAGUGACUGACGCUGAGACGCGAAAGCGUGGGGAGCAAACAGG